Molecule: unclassified non-coding RNA, 286 nt
Filed under: uncultured fungus
Lineage: Eukaryota; Fungi
Description: partial contains small subunit ribosomal RNA, internal transcribed spacer 1, and 5.8S ribosomal RNA
Rfam family: Eukaryotic small subunit ribosomal RNA (bases 1-73)
Source: RNAcentral
GCAAACUUGGUCAUUUAGAGGAAGUAAAAGUCGUAACAAGGUCUCCGUUGGUGAACCAGCGGAGGGAUCAUUACGAAAAGAGUGAAAACUCACUAAACCCUCUGUGAAUUUAUACCUUUUUGUUCCUUCGGCAGGCGGUUCCAGGGCGGGACCCCUGGGCCUUUUUUAGGUGUCUGCCGACGGUAUUUCAAACUAUGGUUUUAUAUUGCAACUCUGAGCCGUGACGGAAUAAAUUAAAACUUUCAGCAACGGAUCUCUUGGUUCUGGCAUCGAUGAAGAACGCAGC